UGGGGAAUUUUGGACAAUGGGGGAAACCCUGAUCCAGCCAUCCCGCGUGUGCGAUGAAGGCCUUCGGGUUGUAAAGCACUUUUGGCAGGAAAGAAACGUCGCGGGUUAAUACCCCGCGAAACUGACGGUACCUGCAGAAUAAGCACCGGCUAACUACGUGCCAGCAGCCGCGGUAAUACGUAGGGUGCAAGCGUUAAUCGGAAUUACUGGGCGUAAAGCGUGCGCAGGCGGUUCGGAAAGAAAGAUGUGAAAUCCCAGAGCUUAACUUUGGAACUGCAUUUUUAACUACCGGGCUAGAGUGUGUCAGAGGGAGGUGGAAUUCCGCGUGUAGCAGUGAAAUGCGUAGAUAUGCGGAGGAACACCGAUGGCGAAGGCAGCCUCCUGGGAUAACACUGACGCUCAUGCACGAAAGCGUGGGGGAGCAAACAGGAUUAGAUACCCUGGUAGUCCACGCCCUAAACGAUGUCAACUAGCUGUUGGGGCCUUCGGGCCUUGGUAGCGCAGCUAACGCGUGAAGUUGACCGCCUGGGGAGUACGGUCGCAAGAUUAAAACUCAAA
RNAcentral lists this ribosomal RNA (558 nucleotides) under uncultured bacterium. RNAcentral's name for it is "partial 16S ribosomal RNA". It matches the Rfam family "Bacterial small subunit ribosomal RNA", at positions 355 to 905 of the family's 1533-position model. The record is from RNAcentral.